UACGGAGGGUGCGAGCGUUGCUCGGAAUUACUGGGCGUAAAGCGCGCGUAGGCGGCUUUGUAAGUCGGGGGUGAAAUCCCCAGGCUUAACCUGGGAACUGCAUUCGAGACUGCAUUGCUAGAGUAUGGGAGAGGGAAGUGGAAUUUCCGGUGUAGCGGUGAAAUGCGUAGAUAUCGGAAGGAACAUCAGUGGCGAAAGCGACUUCCUGGACCAAUACUGACGCUCAUGUGCGAAAGCGUGGGGAGCAAACAGG
This 253-nucleotide ribosomal RNA is filed under the name uncultured bacterium. Its description in RNAcentral is "partial 16S ribosomal RNA". It matches the Rfam family "Bacterial small subunit ribosomal RNA", at positions 524 to 776 of the family's 1533-position model. The record is from RNAcentral.